GAGCUUUCUUCUUGGACACCUAAUACCCACAGUCCUCCAGGCUCCGGUAGACUGCAAAUGACCUGCUUUCUUUCUGUUCCCGGGCUGCGUUUGGACCCCUGUCGGACAGUAAAUCCCAAGUAAGGUACCUGCCCUCGGCAGAUUUGAGCUUUCUUCUUGGACACCUAAUACCCACAGUCCUCCAGGAAUGGAACAGAUAAGAAGAUACUGAAAUUGGACGGUGCUGCCGUGCGGCUGCCGCAGGACACCUUUAAUAUCCCUGUUUCUCAGGCUGUAGAUGAAGGGGUUCAGCAUGGAGGUGAUCACCGUGUACAUCACUGAGGCCACUGCAGCCUUUCUCGGGGAAGAUGACACAUCUGAACUGAGGUACCCUCCAAAGCCUGUUCCGUAAAAUCAGCAAACAACUGACAGGAUAACUUCAGGAAGUGGGUAUUAAUUCUCACGGUAUAAGUGAAGACAUUAAGCACCAGAGUUUAAGUAGCUUGAUCCACUGAAAGAGAUUCAACUGUGUGGAACCUAUGCCGUGGAGAAUUGCUUUCUGCCAUUGUUAUCGUCCAGCAGUUGCCGAAUAGCUCUGACCUGAGCAAAGCAGUGAAACGCGGUGCUGUUGAGUGGGUUGCCACUGCACCUUUUUCAACUACUCUAGUCUUGUGGAGAAAAUACCCCUUCUAAAUUUUUUCUUCAUUGAAUACUCUCCCUCAGCUCCAGAGUACCAUAUAGAGUUUUCUUGUAUUUUAGAGUUACUGUUUUAUCAAAGUUUACCAGUCUUUUGUAUUACAUUUCUCCUGUCUAAAUCGACUGUGUGGUUUCUACUCAUUAUGGAUAUAGAUUGAUACAAACUCAAUAAAUAUUUUUGAAUGAAUAA
Molecule: long non-coding RNA, 865 nt
Filed under: Homo sapiens (human)
Lineage: Eukaryota; Metazoa; Chordata; Mammalia; Primates; Hominidae
Description: long intergenic non-protein coding RNA 1198
Source: RNAcentral